RNAcentral lists this ribosomal RNA (467 nucleotides) under uncultured bacterium. RNAcentral describes it as "bacterial SSU rRNA". It matches the Rfam family "Bacterial small subunit ribosomal RNA", at positions 329 to 794 of the family's 1533-position model. The record is from RNAcentral.
CACCAGACUCCUACGGGAGGCAGCAGUGAGGAAUAUUGGUCAAUGGUCGGGAGACUGAACCAGCCAAGCCGCGUGAGGGAGGAAGGUACAGAGUAUCGUAAACCUCUUUUGUCAGGGAACAAAGGCGGGGACGUGUCCCCGGAUGAGUGUACCUGAAGAAAAAGCAUCGGCUAACUCCGUGCCAGCAGCCGCGGUAAUACGGAGGAUGCGAGCGUUAUCCGGAUUUAUUGGGUUUAAAGGGUGCGCAGGCGGUCUGUUAAGUCAGCGGUCAAAGCCCGGGGCUCAACCCCGUACUGCCGUUGAAACUGCAUCCCUUGAGUGCGCGAGAAGUAUGCGGAAUGCGUGGUGUAGCGGUGAAAUGCAUAGAUAUCACGCAGAACUCCGAUUGCGAAGGCAGCAUACCGGCGCCCAACUGACGCUGAAGCACGAAAGCGUGGGUAUCGAACAGGAUUAGAUACCCGUGUAAA